RNAcentral lists this ribosomal RNA (252 nucleotides) under uncultured bacterium. Its description in RNAcentral is "partial 16S ribosomal RNA". It matches the Rfam family "Bacterial small subunit ribosomal RNA", at positions 524 to 776 of the family's 1533-position model. The record is from RNAcentral.
UACGGAGGGGGCGAGCGUUAUCCGGAAUUAUUGGGCGUAAAGAGCUCGUAGGCGGUUUGUCGCGUCUGCCGUGAAAGUCCGGGGCUCAACUCCGGAUCUGCGGUGGGUACGGGCAGACUAGAGUGAUGUAGGGGAGACUGGAAUUCCUGGUGUAGCGGUGAAUGCGCAGAUAUCAGGAGGAACACCGAUGGCGAAGGCAGGUCUCUGGGCAUUAACUGACGCUGAGGAGCGAAAGCAUGGGGAGCGAACAGG